UACGAAGGGGGCUAGCGUUGCUCGGAAUUACUGGGCGUAAAGCGCACGUAGGCGGUCUUUUAAGUCGGGGGUGAAAUCCUGGAGCUCAACUCCAGAACUGCCUUCGAUACUGGAAGACUUGAGUCCGGGAGGGGUGAGUGGAACUGCGAGUGUAGAGGUGAAAUUCGUAGAUAUUCGCAAGAACACCAGUGGCGAAGGCGGCUCACUGGCCCGGUACUGACGCUGAGGUGCGAAAGCGUGGGGAGCAAACAGG
This 253-nucleotide ribosomal RNA is filed under the name uncultured bacterium. Its description in RNAcentral is "partial 16S ribosomal RNA". It matches the Rfam family "Bacterial small subunit ribosomal RNA", at positions 524 to 776 of the family's 1533-position model. The record is from RNAcentral.